GGGGAUGUGGCUGAGCGGCCGAAGGCGGCGGACUGUAAAUCCGUUUCUCAAAAAGACACGAUGGUUCGAAUCCAUCCGUCCCCACCA
This 87-nucleotide transfer RNA is filed under the name Burkholderia ubonensis. RNAcentral's name for it is "tRNA-Tyr". It matches the Rfam family "tRNA". From Rfam's summary of the family: Transfer RNA (tRNA) molecules are approximately 80 nucleotides in length. Their secondary structure includes four short double-helical elements and three loops (D, anti-codon, and T loops). Further hydrogen bonds mediate the characteristic L-shaped molecular structure. tRNAs have two regions of fundamental functional importance: the anti-codon, which is responsible for specific mRNA codon recognition, and the 3' end, to which the tRNAs corresponding amino acid is attached (by aminoacyl-tRNA synthetases). tRNAs cope with the degeneracy of the genetic code in two manners: having more than one tRNA (with a specific anti-codon) for a particular amino acid; and 'wobble' base-pairing, i.e. permitting non-standard base-pairing at the 3rd anti-codon position. Lineage: Bacteria; Pseudomonadati; Pseudomonadota; Betaproteobacteria; Burkholderiales; Burkholderiaceae. The record is from RNAcentral.